UACGGAGGGUGCGAGCGUUGUCCGGAAUCAUUGGGCGUAAAGGGCGCGUAGGUGGCCCGGUCAGUCUUUGGUGAAAGCGCGGGGCUCAACCCUGCGUCGGCCAGGGAUACUGCCGCGGCUCGAGCACUGUAGAGGCAGGCGGAAUUCCGGGUGUAGCGGUGGAAUGCGUAGAUAUCGGAAGGAACAUCAGUGGCGAAAGCGACUUCCUGGACCAAUACUGACGCUCAUGUGCGAAAGCGUGGGGAGCAAACAGG
Molecule: ribosomal RNA, 254 nt
Filed under: uncultured bacterium
Lineage: Bacteria
Description: partial 16S ribosomal RNA
Rfam family: Bacterial small subunit ribosomal RNA
Source: RNAcentral